Molecule: ribosomal RNA, 463 nt
Filed under: uncultured bacterium
Lineage: Bacteria
Description: partial 16S ribosomal RNA
Rfam family: Bacterial small subunit ribosomal RNA
Source: RNAcentral
CUACGGGGGGCUGCAGUAGGGAAUUUUCGUCAAUGGGGGGAACCCUGAACGAGCAAUGCCGCGUGAAUGAAGAAGGUCUUCGGAUUGUAAAGUUCUUUUAUUGGAGAAGAAAGGUUAUAUCAGGAAAUGGAUAUAAUUUGACGGUAACCAUUGAAUAAGCCCCGGCUAACUACGUGCCAGCAGCCGCGGUAAUACGUAGGGGGCGAGCGUUAUCCGGAAUUAUUGGGCGUAAAGCGUGCGUAGGCGGUUUGUUAAGUCACUUGUAAAAGAUCUCAGCCUAACUGAGUAAGGCGAGUGAAACUGACAGACUUGAAUACGGUAGAGGUAAGUGGAAUUCCAUGUGUAGCGGUGGAAUGCGUAGAUAUAUGGAGGAACACCAAUGGCGAAGGCAACUUACUGGGCCGGAAUUGACGCUGAGGCACGAAAGCGUGGGGAGCAAACAGGAUUAGAUACCCUGGUAGUC